AGAGACACUACUUUGCCAACAAAGGUCCGUCUAGUCAAGGCUAUGGUUUUUCCUGUGGUCAUGUAUGGAUGUGAGAGUUGGACUGUGAAGAAAGCUGAAUGCCAAAGAAUUGAUGCUUUUGAACUGUGGUGUUGGAGAAGACUCUUGAGAGUCCCUUGGACUGCAAGGAGAUCCAACCAGUCCGUUCUGAAGGAGAUCAGCCCUGGGAUUUCUUUGGAAGGACUGACGCUAAAGCUGAAACUCCAGUACUUUGGCCACCUCAUGCGAAGAGUUGACUCAUUGGAAAAGACUCUGAUCCUGGGAGGGAUUGGGGGCAGGAGGGGAAGGGGACGACAGAGGAUGAGAUGGCUGGAUGGCAUCACUGACUUGAUGGACAGUUUCCGACCUGCCUGGGAUUCCCUGUGUGCACCGCUAGCUCCAAGGUCACUGCCCAGGACUGAAAGGAGAAGGAGUUGUAGAGGAGGCAGAGAAUGAGACACCCCUGCUAAUGGUAUGCUAACGAGAGAAAUGGAGCAGGAGGUGGACUGCAGGAAGAAGAAGAUGGCCAUGGUGAGGACCAGUACGGAGAUGAAGGUCAAGAAGCAACAGGUAGAACCGGACAUGAAACAAUGGACAGAUUCCAAAUGGGGAAAGGAGUACGUCAAGGCUGUAUAUUGUCACCUGCUUAUUUAACUUAUACACACAGUACAUCACGAAAAAUACCAGGCUGGAUGAAGCACAAGCUGGAAUCAAGAUUGCAAGGAGAAAUAUCAGUAAUCUCAGAUAUGCAGAUGACACCACCCUUAUGGUAGAAAGUGAAGAGGAACUAGAGCUUCUUGAUGAAAGUGAAAGAAGAGAGUGAAAAAACUCAACAUUCAAGGAACUAAGAUCAUGGCAUCUGUUCCCAUCACUUCAUGGUAAAUAGAUGGGGAAACAAUGGAAACAGUGACAGGCUUUAUUUUCUUGGGCUCCAAAAUCACUGAGAACAGUGACUGCAGUCAUGAAAUUAAAAGACACUUGCUCCUUGGAAGAAAAACUAUGACCAACUUAGCUAGCAUAUGAAAAAGGAGAGACAUCACUUUGUCAACAAAGGUCCAUAUAGUCAAAGCUAUGGUUUUUUCAAUAGUUGUGUAUGGAUGUGAGAGUUGGGC
Molecule: long non-coding RNA, 1130 nt
Organism: Bos taurus (domestic cattle)
Lineage: Eukaryota; Metazoa; Chordata; Mammalia; Artiodactyla; Bovidae
Source: Ensembl